RNAcentral lists this ribosomal RNA (489 nucleotides) under uncultured bacterium. RNAcentral describes it as "partial 16S ribosomal RNA". It matches the Rfam family "Bacterial small subunit ribosomal RNA", at positions 30 to 506 of the family's 1533-position model. The record is from RNAcentral.
AUUGAACGCUGGCGGCAGGCCUAACACAUGCAAGUCGAACGGUAACAGGAAGAAGCUUGCUUCUUUGCUGACGAGUGGCGGACGGGUGAGUAAUGUCUGGGAAACUGCCUGAUGGAGGGGGAUAACUACUGGAAACGGUAGCUAAUACCGCAUAAUGUCGCAAGACCAAAGAGGGGGACCUUCGGGCCUCUUGCCAUCGGAUGUGCCCAGAUGGGAUUAGCUAGUAGGUGGGGUAACGGCUCACCUAGGCGACGAUCCCUAGCUGGUCUGAGAGGAUGACCAGCCACACUGGAACUGAGACACGGUCCAGACUCCUACGGGAGGCAGCAGCGGGGAAUAUUGCACAAUGGGCGCAAGCCUGAUGCAGCUAUGCCGCGUGUAUGAAGAAGGCCUUCGGGUUGUAAAGUACUUUCAGCGGGGAGGAAGGGAGUAAAGUUAAUACCUUUGCUCAUUGACGUUACCCGCAGAAGAAGCACCGGCUAACUCCGU